RNAcentral lists this ribosomal RNA (274 nucleotides) under uncultured bacterium. RNAcentral describes it as "partial 16S ribosomal RNA". It matches the Rfam family "Bacterial small subunit ribosomal RNA", at positions 523 to 796 of the family's 1533-position model. The record is from RNAcentral.
AGACGAACCGGUCGAACGUUAUUCGGAAUUACUGGGCUUAAAGAGUGCGUAGGCGGCCUUUCAGGUGAGGUGUGAAAUCCCCCGGCUCAACCGGGGAACUGCGCUUCAAACCGUUUGGCUUGAGGGAGAUAGAGGUGAGCGGAACUGAUGGUGGAGCGGUGAAAUGCGUUGAUAUCAUCAGGAACACCUGUGGCGAAAGCGGCUCACUGGGUCUCUUCUGACGCUGAGGCACGAAAGCUAGGGUAGCGAACAGGAUUAGAUACCCCAGUAGUCC